Molecule: ribosomal RNA, 511 nt
Filed under: Candida albicans
Lineage: Eukaryota; Fungi; Ascomycota; Pichiomycetes; Serinales; Debaryomycetaceae
Description: eukaryotic LSU rRNA
Rfam family: 5.8S ribosomal RNA (bases 144-296)
Source: RNAcentral
UAGGUCUGAAUGCUUACUGCACCACAUGUGUUUUUCUUUGAAACAAACUUGCUUUGGCGGUGGGCCCAGCCUGCCGCCAGAGGUCUAAACUUACAACCAAUUUUUUAUUAACUUGUCACACCAGAUUAUUACUAAAUAGUCAAAACUUUCAACAACGGAUCUCUUGGUUCUCGCAUCGAUAAGAACGCAGCGAAAUGCGAUACGUAAUAUGAAUUGCAGAUAUUCGUGAAUCAUCGAAUCUUUGAACGCACAUUGCGCCCUCUGGUAUUCCGGAGGGCAUGCCUGUUUGAGCGUCGUUUCUCCCUCAAACCGCUGGGUUUGGUGUUGAGCAAUACGACUUGGGUUUGCUUGAAAGACGGUAGUGGUAAGGCGGGAUCGCUUUGACAAUGGCUUAGGUCUAACCAAAAACAUUGCUUGCGGCGGUAACGUCUACCACGUAUAUCUUCAAACUUUGACCUCAAAUCAGGUAGGACUACCCGCUGAACUUAAGCAUAUCAAUAAAGCGGAGGAA